This 2560-nucleotide long non-coding RNA is filed under the name Ananas comosus (pineapple). RNAcentral's name for it is "long non-coding RNA (ACOM_LNC001549)". The record is from RNAcentral. Lineage: Eukaryota; Viridiplantae; Streptophyta; Magnoliopsida; Poales; Bromeliaceae.
AGGAUGAGACAACCUAGAGAGAUUGGACAUCUCUAUCAAAUUUGUCCAUACAAUGUGCAAAUUAAAACCUGCUUUUAUUUUCCUCCUUAAUUUGGUCCCAAAAAACUAGGAAUUUAAACCUUGUCAUGUCAAGUUAGGUUUAGUACAAUGGCAUGGGUGGUAGAUGAUGGAAGGGGAGAUAUUUAUGCCUAUGAAUUUAGACCUUUCAACCUUUAUCAAUUUUGGAUUAUUAAUUCUUUUUUUUUUAUUUCCUACACAAUUGUUUGGUUGUAAUCCACAGUUUAUGUAUUCAAGUCCAAAAAAGGGGCAUUUUUUUUCCCUUUAUAAUCAAUGAGUUAGUUUCAAAAUAAGUAUUGGUGCCCUUUUUCUUGUUUUUAAUUUUUCCUACUAAGUUGGCUUUAAUCACUUUCAAAUUUUCCAAAAACUUUGAUUGUUAAUCAUUUCUCUUGAUUUCGAACGGUUCUCACCUAUUUGAAAAGAAGAUGAUGAUGUUAAUAGGUUCAAAAUUACUAAUAACAUAUGCGUACAUUGAAUCUGAUUGUUAUUUGCCAAGUAAAAGCGAUCNGUAGAAAAGUUUCGAACUUUACUUUUCACGGUAGAUAUUUAAUUAGAGAGAAUUGAAGAGUUUUUAGAAAAAAAGAUUUCACGGUAGAUAUUUAAUUAAAUCUUUAAUGUUCAUUUUCAACCGUUAAAAUUGAAAAUUGUCCGUUAAAUUUCUGUCCAAUGAAAUUGUGCGAGGUUGCAUCAUCACAUCCACGGGCGACAAAAAAUUUUAGCGUGGUGUCCCUAACAAAUCAAAUAUUUUUUUUAAAAUUUAAAAAAUAUUUUUAUUGUACUGUUUUUAAAUAAAGAGAUAUAAUUGACUUGUUAUUGAUGAUAUGCUGCAAUUGUGACACAAUAGAUUUUCUCCCUCGUGACACACGUCGGAGAAAAAUCCACGUGGCUGUGACGUUAUACACUGUGGGGGACCCACUAUAAUUAUAAUUUAAUAAAUGUAGUUUUUAAAAUUAUUAAAAUAUUAUUUAAAAAACCAACAUUGGUAAUUACUGAGAUGUCAAUUUCCAGAAGAUAAUUCAGUCACUAAAUCCACAAAUACAAAAAUGGACUCAUGAUUAAUAUUUCGAAAGAUAUUGUUCAACAAAAUAAAAAAAGGCUUGUCUUGGCACAGAACAAUGAAAGCGCUCCUUAAUACAAAUAUCAGCACAUUAAUAAUAUAUAAAAAUAAUAUGUUUUAAAAAAUAAAGUAUUAUUCUUCUUUGUUUCUAAAUACGUAUAUCAGUACAUUAAUAAUUUAUAAAAAUAAUAUUUCAAGGAACAAGGAAUCUAGAGUAUUACUCCUGUUUUUCUCCGAAUAUUUAUGAUGAGUUCGGUCAAGAAUAUUGAAGAUUAUUAGAAGGCUAAACUACAGAAAAUACUCUUGUAAAUAUUGAUCUUUUAAUUUUUCCUUUUUUACUUUAUCUAUAUUUUACCACCUGAAAAUUUCAAAGUUGAUGUAGAAAACACUCUUGUAAAUACCGUUAAUUUUUCCUUUUUGACUUUAUCUAUAUUUUACCACCUGAAAAUAUCAAAUUGAUGCAGAAAAUACUCUUGUAAAUAUCGAUCUUUUAAUUUUUCCUUUUCGACUUUAUCGAUAUUUUACGCGCCCCCCCCCCCCUCAGGGUUUCAUCACUUUCCAUCCAUUUCUUAUAAUUUAUACUGAAAAUACUCUUAAAAAUUAACAUAAAUAUAUUAAAAUAUUAUUAUUUUUUCUUUAUAGAGCAAGUAAGGAUAAUUUGAUCAUUUCGCCCUCUCUUUUAACACCAUAACCCCCUAAUAAUAUUUAGAAAAUUUUUAGAAGGCAAAAUAUAAAAUUUUUAAAAGUCAAGAACAAAAAGUAAAAAAAUAUAUAUUUAUAGCAGGUUUUCUGGAUUUCAGCAUUAUUAGAAAUACAACAAUUUAAGAGGAAAUUGGUAUCUUCUAAGAAUAAUUCAAUUCCAAAGUUGGAUGUUGGUAUCUCAUUGUAUGUGGUUGUAAAUAGAACCAAGGAUGAGACAACUUAGGGGCCGUUUGGUUGGAUGUAGUUGCAAAAACAGUGUAGUUGGAAAUAUAUACAGUUGCAAAUGCUGCAGUUAUAACUACACCUAGUCUGUUUGGUUUUACGCAGUUGCAACUGCUGCAGUUACAUUUCUUCUGUUUGGUAAUAUGAAGCUGAUAGUUGUAUUUAUGAAUUUUGUCACCUCUUCAGAUAGAGUGGUAAGGUUACCUACACUAAACAUAAAAUAAUUAUAUAAAUUUAUUAAUUAUUUAAAUUUACUAUUUAUAAAUAAAUAAGUAGAUAUAUAUAAUAUUUUUAUAUUUUUCAAUAAUUCUUCAACUUAUUAAUCGACACAUUUAAAAUUUUUAAUUUAUUUAAUUUUAAUAUGUAAAUCAAACUUUAAAAAUUUAAACGAUUCUCUCAUUUUUUUUAUCAAAUUUAAUAAUUAUAAUUAAUUAAAACUUAUUAAAUUAACAUACACGAUCACAUUCUAUAAAAAUUUAGAAAAAAAAACUAUAUUUAUAUUUUAAAUAAAAUAAAUUUAAA